Lolium rigidum is the source of this 2901-nucleotide long non-coding RNA. RefSeq lists it as uncharacterized. The record is from RefSeq and is a predicted model, not a curated record. NCBI's taxonomy places the organism in Eukaryota, Viridiplantae, Streptophyta, Magnoliopsida, Poales, Poaceae. The transcript is spliced from 3 exons.
GAAUUCAGAGGUACGAAUAAUUUCAUCAUGCACUAUAUUGCUUAUAGCUUAUGGGGAUUGAACAUGCAGACAUGAUGGAGCAAGUUUGACAAUUCAAUUGAGCGGCGCCACACUGCCACAUUGGUUAUACAAACUGUUCGCAGAAAUGAAUUCCAAAUUCACACAUUACCACAUCCAGGGACAUCUAAUAAAAUUAAAAUUAUUCAGUGCAAAGAGUAUCAGAAUAUAGUUUCUAAAUGUCUCCAUUAGAUUUCGGUCAGCUCUCUCUGAAUAGAUGAUAAUUUUCAAAAACCACUCUUACAUUUUGAAUGACAAUAUUAAAUUACAAAGUGUUUGGUUGGAGCUACUUUGCUUUGCCCUCACCAUUACAAUAAUUCAUACAAGAGGAUCUCUUUUGUGUUAUUUAUCUAUGUGAAUACUGAUUCUUUGUUUUAGUUAUCUCCUCAUGAAUAAUAUUCUUCGGCCUCAGAUUUUGUAGUUUUCUGAAGGUUUUCAGACAAGUGGGCAUAUUUCCUAGCUCAUUACCAAGUUUAGAUCAAGUUUAGUUUCUGAUGCCAAAGACAGUAGACAUACUUACAAAUCUAUCAUGUUUUCUUAGUGCUUUGUUUUUCUGUGAUGUUGAGUUCGCAUCCAUGCUCCGAGGGGUUUGAUCUUUGUUGUGUUUCCACAGAUCAUGCAGGUUCGAGUGCCAUUUGUGUCCCUCUUAGAAAGAUCGAGGAGAUGAUAGUGGGUAUUCAAUCAGAUUAGUUGGCAUGCCAUGCACUAGACUGAAUGAACUAUUGAGAUCAGGUCAAUGGGCUUCGGACAUUACUUGACUACUAGAAGAUUUAGGAUGGUUGAUUGUUUUCUGCAAGGCUCAUUCGGACAUUACUAUUAUGUCUGAGAAAUCAAUUCUCAGUCAUUACGUGUGGCAAUGAUGGUGAAAGUAUGUUAUGUAGCUCCUCCAUUGGCUGCAAAUGCUGGAGGUUUUUCAAACUGAGCAGGUAUAUGAUCAUAAUUAAGUCAGAGCGGUGAUCUUUUUUAAAUGUAACAUGGUGCCAUGUACUAGAUACUGUAGUUGAUACUUGGGAUAUCCGAGACAUAUCUGUGAGAAUUUUAAGGUGUUGCCAAUAAUGUCAUUGUUCAAUGCCUAUUUAUGGCUUUUGUGAUUCAAUUUCACAUAUAGAAAUAUAUUUAUAUUUUUUCUAUAGUGUCGUCAGAAUUGAUUGCACCGCUCUGUCAAUACCUCUUAAUACAACUUUUAUAAUUAAAGCAUUUUCUAUUUUUUUUUACAUGAAAAUGUUGUUAAUAAUUUUAGAUUAAGAAAAUAGAUUGUAUUUAUGGUCUACAUUGGUGUCCAGGUACCAGGUUACAUAUAUUCUAUUUCAUUCAAAAACUUUCACAAUAUGAUUUCAUUUCAUUCACAAAUUCAAGAGUCUUAGGCCUUACAUACAACCCUCUAUAAGCGCUUAGAAACUAACGGAUUUAAUUCUCAAGUGUCUUAGUCCUUAGAACCUGGUCACUUACAUAUGCUUUAUUGGGCACAUAUAUGCUACUGAUGUUUGCAUCCACAGUUUUCGAAAAUUGCUCCCUAACUGAAUAAGUAGCCAUUUCUGUACAUAAACUACAACUUCAAGAUAUCUUGGUCUUUUAGAUUGAUAUACAUGAAUGCACUAGCUAGAUAGUGCUACGGAAUUAUAUAUGAGCUAUGAAAGAAAUAAGUUUAUUAUCCGAUAGAUUAAUUCUUAUAGGUGCAUAUGAAUUUAGCCAGCAUAGCACAAUUCUCCCACUCUUCCUUACCACAAGCCUCUCUUUCGAGAUACAGGAUUAAAAUGACUUGGAAUUCUUGACUGUCUAUUUGAUUCUAGCGGAAUCAUGAAUGUCUGCUAUCGUUGUUGGAUUGUUAUGUUAUGUUCUCUAAAUAAGGCAUGUUAAGGAAUAUUUGCAUCAUUUAAACAGGAUCAUUUUUGUCUUGCUCUUACUUACAAUAAGCUAUGCGCAGAAAUUUUGAUUUUUUCAGUCAUUUAAAUUUAGGGCCGAGUUAUCGAUCUAGCAGCCUGAUUGUGCCAGUGAAAACGCUGCAAAACACUGGGUUAUUGGCUUCUAGAAAAUAGUUUGUAGUCAAUAUGCAAGCACAUGUAGCAGUAAGAAAUCUCUUUUCAUCAGUACAAGCUCACAUAAAACUUAGCUUCCAUGACAACCUCUUGAACUAAUUUGCAUUACGGCUGGGUUUGAUUCUUCCUCACAUAGUCUUGGUCAUGCAGCGUUGGCUGGCAUCAUUCAGAGGCUACCUGACGGAUCCCACAAUUUAAUAUCUCUUAAGGAUUGCUUCGAGGGUUUUACAAUUUUUCUUACAUAUAUCAUACUGGUAAAAUAAAUGGGUUGACCAAAACAUCAGAAGACUCAAAUCUUCCUACCUUAGAAUGCACUUCCUGAAGGUUUUAUGAAGGUCAACACCAAUGCCUUUUCCGUUGAUGAAUCUGGGGUUGCUAGCGAUGGAGUGGUCGGCUGGGAUUACCUCAGAAGUGUCAUUUCUCUGCAGCCUAUCCGAUGAGAGGUUGAACCAACGCUGAAGAAACUGAAGUUGAGGUAAUACAUGGCGUGCGUCUUAGGGUAAAACUUUGGAUGUAGGAGCAUUGUGACAGAGUCUGACAACCAGACAGUAAUUAAGGUGAUCAAUUCGAAAUUGUGUAACCUCACUGCCUCAUGCAUCAUUAUUACCCAAACUCAGGUGUAGGGAUUUUGUUUGCAGUAGCUUUGUGAAAGUAGGUAGAGGGCUGCAAUAGUCUGUACCCCGUGAGUUGUCCGCCUUGGCGAGAUAUCCGUUUGUCUGGAUCAUGACUAGGUAGAGUGCCGAGAAGCGUGCGAUCAAAAAUUUGUAAUUGAUUGUGAUACUCUGAAUGACAGUAAUAUAUAAGCACC